GCAAGUCGAGCGAAGACUUCGGUCUUAGCGGCGGACGGGUGAGUAACGCGUGGGAACGUGCCCUUCUCUGCGGAAUAGCCUCUGGAAACGGAGAUUAAUACCGCAUACGCCCUUUGGGGGAAAGAUUUAUCGGAGAGGGAUCGGCCCGCGUUAGAUUAGGUAGUUGGAGGGGUAAUGGCCUACCAAGCCUACGAUCUAUAGCUGGUUUUAGAGGAUGAUCAGCCACACUGGGACUGAGACACGGCCCAGACUCCUACGGGAGGCAGCAGUGGGGAAUCUUAGACAAUGGGGGAAACCCUGAUCUAGCCAUGCCGCGUGAGUGACGAAGGCCUUAGGGUCGUAAAGCUCUUUCGCCAGGGAAGAUAAUGACGGUACCUGGUAAAGAAACCCCGGCUAACUCCGUGCCAGCAGCCGCGGUAAUACGGAGGGGGUUAGCGUUGUUCGGAAUUACUGGGCGUAAAGCGCACGUAGGCGGACUGUUAAGUCGGGGGUGAAAUCCCGGGGCUCAACCCCGGAACUGCCUUCGAUACUGGCAGUCUGGAGUUCGAGAGAGGUGAGUGGAAUUCCGAGUGUAGAGGUGAAAUUCGUAGAUAUUCGGAGGAACACCAGUGGCGAAGGCGGCUCACUGGCUCGAUACUGACGCUGAGGUGCGAAAGUGUGGGGAGCAAACAGGAUUAGAUACCCUGGUAGUCCACACCGUAAACGAUGAAUGCCAGUCGUCGGCUCGCUUGCGG
This 734-nucleotide ribosomal RNA is filed under the name uncultured Paracoccaceae bacterium. RNAcentral's name for it is "bacterial SSU rRNA". It matches the Rfam family "Bacterial small subunit ribosomal RNA", at positions 57 to 838 of the family's 1533-position model. The record is from RNAcentral. Lineage: Bacteria; Pseudomonadati; Pseudomonadota; Alphaproteobacteria; Rhodobacterales; Paracoccaceae.